This 654-nucleotide ribosomal RNA is filed under the name Triticum aestivum (bread wheat). Its description in RNAcentral is "partial small subunit ribosomal RNA". The record is from RNAcentral. Lineage: Eukaryota; Viridiplantae; Streptophyta; Magnoliopsida; Poales; Poaceae.
AUGGAAAAAAUGGUUGAAGAUGUUGUCCUUCAAGACAAAAUCAAUGAUGAGCUUGUGGCAUAUCGAAAGGAACAGGGGACAUUUGGAAGAGAAAUUGCCAAAAGGCAGCGGAGAAACAAAAGCUUUGAUCCAGCUCAAUGGUGGUCCAGUCAUGGGUCAGAUUCACCAAAUCUCAGAGUAUUGGCGAUGCGGAUUUUGAGUUUGACAUGCAGCUCCUCCGCUUGUGAGAGGAAUUUUAGUGUUUUUCAGCAGAUUCACACAAAGAAACACAACAGGCUGCUUUAUAAUAAAAUGAGAGACCUUGUUUUUAUCAAGUUCAACUCCAAACUCAAACAAAAGAGAAAGAUGAAAAACAGGGACCCGAUUGUGGACCACACAUUUGUAGAUGUUGUAGAAGAUGAAGAUAAUGAGUGGAUCACAUGUAUUGUGCCUCAUGAACCUGAUGAAGUUGUAGAAGUUGCAGCAUCAACAUCACAAGGAGCAGUUGGUGCAUCAAAAAGAAAGAGAGCGUCCCAAUCUCGCCCUCGGAAGAAGAAAAAACUGCUCCCUGUUUUUCGUGAAGAUGAGUUGGAGUCAGCUAGUUCUUCUUCUGAAUCGGAAGAUGAUGCCAUGCAUUCACCAUCUGGUUCAUCAAAUGAGAGUGAUUCUGAAUAA